This 1968-nucleotide ribosomal RNA is filed under the name Triticum aestivum (bread wheat). RNAcentral's name for it is "partial small subunit ribosomal RNA". The record is from RNAcentral. Lineage: Eukaryota; Viridiplantae; Streptophyta; Magnoliopsida; Poales; Poaceae.
AUGGCCGGAAAAGGAGACGGGCCGGCGAUCGGCAUCGACCUCGGCACGACCUACUCCUGCGUCGGCGUCUGGCAGCAUGACCGGGUGGAGAUCAUCGCCAACGACCAGGGCAACCGCACCACGCCGUCCUAUGUCGCCUUCACCGACACCGAGCGGCUCAUCGGCGACGCCGCCAAGAACCAGGUCGCCAUGAACCCGAUCAACACCGUCUUCGAUGCGAAGCGGCUCAUCGGCCGGCGUUUCUCGGACUCGUCGGUGCAGAGCGACGCCAAGCUGUGGCCGUUCAAGGUGAUCCCCGGCCCCGCUGACAAGCCGAUGAUCGGGGUACAGUACAGAGGCGAGGACAAGCAGUUCUCGGCCGAGGAGAUCUCCUCCAUGGUGCUCAACAAGAUGAAGGAGACGGCCGAGGCCUACCUCGGCACAACCAUCAAGAACGCAGUCGUCACCGUCCCCGCCUACUUCAACGACUCCCAGCGCCAGGCCACCAAGGAUGCAGGCGUCAUCUCUGGCCUCAACGUCAUGCGGAUCAUCAACGAGCCUACCGCCGCCGCCAUCGCCUACGGUCUUGACAAGAAGUCCACCAGCGUCGGCGAGAAGAACGUGCUCAUCUUUGAUCUCGGCGGCGGUACCUUCGAUGUCUCCCUCCUCACCAUUGAGGAGGGUAUCUUCGAGGUCAAGGCCACUGCCGGAGACACCCACCUGGGAGGCGAGGACUUCGACAACCGGAUGGUCAAUCACUUCGUGCAGGAAUUCAAGAGGAAGAACAAGAAGGACAUCAGCGGCAACCCGAGGGCGCUCCGGCGGCUCAGGACAGCGUGCGAGAGGGCGAAGAGGACACUCUCCUCCACCGCCCAGACCACCAUCGAGAUCGAUUCCCUCUUCGAGGGCAUCGACUUCUACACUACCAUCACCCGCGCCCGGUUCGAGGAGCUCAACAUGGACCUCUUCCGCAAGUGCAUGGAGCCCGUUGAGAAGUGCCUCCGGGACGCCAAGAUGGACAAGAGCACCGUGCACGACGUUGUCCUCGUCGGAGGAUCCACACGUAUCCCCCGUGUGCAGCAGCUCCUCCAGGACUUCUUUAACGGGAAGGAGCUCUGCAAGAGCAUCAACCCUGACGAGGCCGUCGCGUACGGAGCCGCCGUUCAGGCUGCCAUCCUCACUGGCGAGGGCAACGAGAAGGUGCAGGACUUGCUCCUGCUUGACGUCACGCCGCUCUCGCAGGGCCUGGAGACGGCCGGAGGCGUCAUGACCGUGCUGAUCCCGAGGAACACGACAAUCCCCACCAAGAAGGAGCAGGUCUUCUCCACCUACUCUGACAACCAGCCCGGCGUGCUCAUCCAGGUGUAUGAGGGCGAGAGGGCGAGGACCAAGGACAACAACCUGCUCGGCAAGUUCGAGCUCUCUGGGAUCCCACCGGCGCCCAGGGGUGUCCCCCAGAUCACCGUGUGCUUUGACAUUGAUGCCAACGGUAUCCUGAACGUCUCGGCGGAGGACAAGACCACUGGGCAGAAGAACAAGAUCACAAUUACCAACGACAAGGGGCGUCUGAGCAAGGAGGACAUCGAGAAGAUGGUGCAGGAGGCCGAGAAGUACAAGGCUGAGGACGAGGAGCACAAGAAGAAGGUGGACUCCAAGAACGCCCUGGAGAACUACGCUUACAACAUGCGUAACACCAUCAAGGAUGACAAGAUCGCCUCCAAGCUUCCCGAGGCCGACAAGAAGAAGAUCGAGGAUGCUAUUGACGGUGCCAUCACCUGGCUCGACAACAACCAGCUCGCUGAGGCUGAAGAGUUUGAUGACAAGAUGAAAGAGCUGGAGGGCAUUUGCAACCCCAUCAUCGCCAAGAUGUACCAGGGGGCCGGCGCUGAAAUGCCUGGUGGUAUGGAUGAGGAUGCUCCGGCCAGUGCCGCAGGCGGCAGCAGCGGCCCAGGGCCCAAGAUUGAGGAGAAAUUCUUAAUCCCGAGAUAG